Molecule: ribosomal RNA, 301 nt
Filed under: uncultured bacterium
Lineage: Bacteria
Description: partial 16S ribosomal RNA
Rfam family: Bacterial small subunit ribosomal RNA
Source: RNAcentral
CAGUCGCCGCGGGAAUACGUAGGGUGCAAGCGUUAAUCGGAAUUACUGGGCGUAAAGCGUGCGCAGGCGGUUUUGUAAGUUUGUCGUGAAAGCCCCGGGCUCAACCUGGGAAUUGCGAUGAAGACUGCAAGGCUUGAAUCUGGCAGAGGGGGGUAGAAUUCCACGUGUAGCAGUGAAAUGCGUAGAGAUGUGGAGGAACACCGAUGGCGAAGGCAGCCCCCUGGGUCAAGAUUGACGCUCAUGCACGAAAGCGUGGGGAGCAAACAGGAUUAGAUACCCCUGUAGUCCCUGUCUCUUAUAC